This 357-nucleotide ribosomal RNA is filed under the name Ctenophora environmental sample. RNAcentral's name for it is "partial Bacterial large subunit ribosomal RNA". It matches the Rfam family "Bacterial large subunit ribosomal RNA", at positions 2087 to 2452 of the family's 2925-position model. Lineage: Eukaryota; Metazoa; Ctenophora. The record is from RNAcentral.
GACCCCGUGAACCUUUACUACAGCUUGGCAUUGGUUUUUGAGGUAACAUGUGCAGGAUAGGUGGGAGGCUUUGAAGUGCGCACGCCAGUGUGUAUGGAGUCAUCCUUGAAAUACCACCCUUCUUAAAAUGUAAUUCUAAUUCCGCAAAGCGGAAAACAGUGCUUGGUGGGUAGUUUAACUGGGGCGGUUGCCUCCUAAAGAGUAACGGAGGCGCACAAAGGUUGACUAUCUCCGGAUGGAAAUCGGAGAGAUAGUGUAUUCGCAUAAGUCAGCCUGACUGAGAGACUUACAAGUCGAUCAGACACGAAAGUGGGUGAAAAUGAUCCGGCAUUAACGAGUGGAAGUGAUGUCGCUCAA